CUGCGGAAGGAUCAUUACAGUAGUCACCCGGGUUGCCGCAAGGCCUCUCGGGUAACCUACCACCCUUUGUUUAUUACACUUUGUUGCUUUGGCAGGCCUGCCUUCGGGCUGCUGGCUCCGGCCGGCGAGCGCUUGCCAGAGGAUCUAAACUCUGUUUGUCUAUACUGUCUGAGUACUAUAUAAUAGUUAAAACUUUCAACAACGGAUCUCUUGGUUCUGGCAUCGAUGAAGAACGCAGCGAAAUGCGAUAAGUAAUGUGAAUUGCAGAAUUCAGUGAAUCAUCGAAUCUUUGAACGCACAUUGCGCCCCCUGGUAUUCCGGGGGGCAUGCCUGUCCGAGCGUCAUUACAACCCUCAAGCUCUGCUUGGUGUUGGGCCCCGCCGCCCCGGCGGGCCCUAAAGUCAGUGGCGGUGCCAUCCGGCUCCGAGCGUAGUAAUUCUUCUCGCUCUGGAGGUCCGGUUGUGUGCUUGCCAUCAACCCCCAAUUUUUUUCAGGUUGACCUCGGAUCAGGUAGGGAUACCCGCUGAACUUAAGCAUAUCAAUAAGCGGAGGAAAAGAAACCAACAGGGAUUACCUCAGUAACGGCGAGUGAAGCGGUAACAGCUCAAAUUUGAAAUCUGGGCCUCACGGUCCGAGUUGUAAUUUGUAGAGGAUGCUUCGAGCAUGGUCUGGCCUAAGUUCCUUGGAACAGGACGUCAUAGAGGGUGAGAAUCUCGUAUGCGGCCAGGUGCCUACGCUCAUGUGAAGCUCCUUCGACGAGUCGAGUUGUUUGGGAAUGCAGCUCAAAAUGGGUGGUAAAUUUC
RNAcentral lists this ribosomal RNA (803 nucleotides) under uncultured fungus. Its description in RNAcentral is "eukaryotic LSU rRNA". The stretch from base 497 to 803 matches the Rfam family "Eukaryotic large subunit ribosomal RNA", at positions 1 to 307 of the family's 3401-position model. The record is from RNAcentral. Lineage: Eukaryota; Fungi.